CGCACAUUGCGCCCAUGAGUAUUCUCCUGGGCAUGCCUGUUCGAGCGUCAUUUCGACACUUAAGCCUAGCUUAGUGUUGGGAAUCUACUGUAGGUGUUUAGCCUUGUAGUUCCUGAAAAUCAACGGCGGACUUGCAGUAUCCUCUGAGCGUAGUAAUUGUUCUCUCGCUUUUGUCAGGUGCUAUAAAUCUAGCCGCUAAACCCCUAAUAUCUUUAAAGGUUGACCUCGGAUCAGGUAGGAAUACCCGCUGAACUUAA
This 257-nucleotide unclassified non-coding RNA is filed under the name fungal sp. RNAcentral describes it as "partial contains 5.8S ribosomal RNA, internal transcribed spacer 2, and large subunit ribosomal RNA". The record is from RNAcentral. Lineage: Eukaryota; Fungi.